GACGAACGCUGGCGGCGUGCUUAACACAUGCAAGUCGAACGGAAGGGCCCUGCUUUUGUGGGGUGCUCGAGUGGCGAACGGGUGAGUAACACGUGAGUAACCUGCCCUAGACUUUGGGAUAACUUCAGGAAACUGGGGCUAAUACCGUAUAGGAUCUCCUGCUGCAUGGUGGGGGUUGGAAAUUUUCGGCGGUUGGGGAUGGACUCGCGGCUUAUCAGCUUGUUGGUGGGGUAGUGGCUUACCAAGGCUUUGAAGGGUAGCCGGCCUGAGAGGGUGACCGGCGACCUUGGGACUAAGAUACGGCCCAGUCUGCUACGGGAGGCAGCAGUGGGGAAUCUUGCACAAUGGGAGGAAGUCUGAUGCAGAAACGCCGCGUGCGGGAUGACGGCCUUCGGGUUGUAAACCGCUUUCGCCUGUGACGAAGCGUGAGUGACGGUAAUGGGUAAAGAAGCACCGGCUAACUACGUG
This 468-nucleotide ribosomal RNA is filed under the name uncultured bacterium. Its description in RNAcentral is "partial 16S ribosomal RNA". It matches the Rfam family "Bacterial small subunit ribosomal RNA", at positions 28 to 507 of the family's 1533-position model. The record is from RNAcentral.